CCCUUAGAUGUUCUGGGCCGCACGCGCGCUACACUGAUGAAUGCAACGAGCUUAUAACCUUGGCCGAAAGGUCUGGGUAAUCUCCAAAUUUCGUCGUGAUGGGGAUAGAUUAUUGCACUUAUUAAUCUUCAACGAGGAAUGCCUAGUAAGCGCAAGUCAUCAGCUUGCGUUGAUUACGUCCCUGCCCUUUGUACACACCGCCCGUCGCUCCUACCGAUUGAAUGGUCCGGUGAAGCGUUCGGACCGUGGCCUUUGGACGGUUCGCCGUCUGUUGGCUGCGGGAAGUUCGUUAAACCUUAUCAUUUAGAGGAAGGAGAAGUCGUANCA
RNAcentral lists this ribosomal RNA (327 nucleotides) under uncultured eukaryote. Its description in RNAcentral is "partial 18S ribosomal RNA". It matches the Rfam family "Eukaryotic small subunit ribosomal RNA", at positions 1470 to 1796 of the family's 1831-position model. The record is from RNAcentral.